CACAUUCCUUCGUGUUCAAGUAUACGUGUGGUUGGCUCGAGCACAGAAGCACAGAGCUGAGCAAAAUAUUCAGCGCCUUUUUCAGAGAACCCUGGCUGGUGCUGGUGGAUGUUCCUGCCCCUUCCUCCACCAUGAACAUUUUUAAAAAUUAAGGGAGAAACAGGAAAACUUUGAAGAAUCUUCCAGAUUUGCCUAACGCAGAUGUGCAUGACCUGACAAGAUAGAUGUGCCAUUUGGACCCUUUCAAGAGCAGACAGAAUGGAAGGGAGGCUGGAGUGCAAUGGUGUGAUCUCUGCUCCUGCAACCUGCGCCUCCUGAGUUCAAGCGAUUCUCCUGCCUCAGCCUCCCAAGUUGCUGGGAUUACAGGGGCCCGCCACCACGCCCAGCUAAUUUUUGUUAUUUUCAGUAGAGAUGGGGUUUCAUCAUGUUGGCCAGGCUAGUCUUGAACUCCUGACCUCAGGCGAUCCGCCCGCCUCGGCCUCCCAAAGUGCUGGGAUUACAGGUGUGAGCCACUGCACCUGCCCAAGGACUAAGGUUUUCUAUUUCUUAUUGUGUCAGUUAGGUUGUAUUUUUCUGUGAAUCUGUUCAUUUCACCAAAUUUUCAAGUUUGUUGGCUUAAAGUUUUCGAUAAUAUACUCUUAUUUUGUGGUGAAGUCCCUUUUUUAUUUCUUGUAUUUGUUAUUUGUGCCUUCUUUUCUUUUUUUUUUUUCCUUUUCUUUUUUAUGAGAUAGAGUUUCACUCUUGUCGCCCAAGCUGGAGUGCAAUGGCGCGAUC
Molecule: long non-coding RNA, 774 nt
Filed under: Homo sapiens (human)
Lineage: Eukaryota; Metazoa; Chordata; Mammalia; Primates; Hominidae
Description: non-protein coding lnc-ADCY9-1:9
Source: RNAcentral